This 450-nucleotide ribosomal RNA is filed under the name uncultured bacterium. Its description in RNAcentral is "partial 16S ribosomal RNA". It matches the Rfam family "Bacterial small subunit ribosomal RNA", at positions 354 to 796 of the family's 1533-position model. The record is from RNAcentral.
GUGGGGAAUUUUGGACAAUGGGCGAAAGCCUGAUCCAGCCAUUCCGCGUGCAGGAUGAAGGCCCUCGGGUUGUAAACUGCUUUUGUACAGAACGAAAAAGCUCCGGCUAAUACCUGGAGUCCAUGACGGUACUGUAAGAAUAAGCACCGGCUAACUACGUGCCAGCAGCCGCGGUAAUACGUAGGGUGCAAGCGUUAAUCGGAAUUACUGGGCGUAAAGCGUGCGCAGGCGGUUUUGUAAGACAGAGGUGAAAUCCCCGGGCUCAACCUGGGAACUGCCUUUGUGACUGCAAGGCUGGAGUGCGGCAGAGGGGGAUGGAAUUCCGCGUGUAGCAGUGAAAUGCGUAGAUAUGCGGAGGAACACCGAUGGCGAAGGCAAUCCCCUGGGCCUGCACUGACGCUCAUGCACGAAAGCGUGGGGAGCAAACAGGAUUAGAUACCCUUGUAGUCC